CCGAGGGGGAUGGGAUGAGAAUGUGCGUUCAGCUGCGUCCAAGUUCUCAAGCUCGGUUCAAGUCAUUCAUCCUCAAAUUUCACUUUUAAUUCUUGUCAACCUCAUUUCCUUUUUUUCUCUUCCCUUCCCUUCCCUUUCUCUCCCUUCCUUUCCUUUACUUUCUCUCCCUUUCUUUCCCUUUCUCGGCCUUCCUAUCCUUUCCCUUUCCUUCCUUUCUCUUCCAUUCCCUUCCCUUCCCUUUCUCUCUCGGGACAUCAUGAGUGUUUCCUUAGGUUCAUGGUACAGGGGAAGGGUCAGAGUGUACCAGGGUCAUAAAACUACCCCUGGAAAUGCCUGGAACUCCUAUGAAAGCCUUGUUGAAUAUGUGUUUCCUUAGGUUCAUGGUACAGGGGAAGGGUCAGAGUACCACCAGGGCCAUAAAACUACCCCUGGAAAUGCCCGAAACUCCUAUGAAAGCCUUGUUGAAUAUGUGU
Molecule: long non-coding RNA, 473 nt
Organism: Eriocheir sinensis (Chinese mitten crab)
Lineage: Eukaryota; Metazoa; Arthropoda; Malacostraca; Decapoda; Varunidae
Exons: 2
Source: RefSeq, a predicted model, not a curated record